AGUCGACGCGAAAGUUCCCUUCGGGGAGCAAGUAGAGUGGCGCACGGGUGAGUAACACGUAGGUAAUCUACCUUUGGAUUGGGAAUAACCACCGGAAACGGUGGCUAAUACCGAAUAAUGCAGCGGCACCUAAUGGUGACAGUUGUUAAAGCGGGGGAUCGCAAGACCUCGCGUCUGAAGAGGAGCCUGCGGCAGAUUAGCUAGUUGGUAAGGUAACGGCUUACCAAGGCGAUGAUCUGUAGCCGGCCUGAGAGGGCGGUCGGCCACACUGACACUGACAUACGGGUCAGACUCCUACGGGAGGCAGCAGUCGGGAAUUUUGGGCAAUGGGCGAAAGCCUGACCCAGCAACGCCGCGUGAAGGAUGAAAUCCUUCGGGAUGUAAACUUCGCAAGAACGGGAAGAAUAAGUAAGGGUUAAUAUCUCUUACGAUGACGGUACUGUUUGUAAGCUCCGGCUAACUCCGUGCCAGCAGCCGCGGUAAUACGGGGGGAGCAAGCGUUGUUCGGAUUUACUGGGCGUAAAGGGCGCGUAGGCGGCCACCGCAAGUCGACUGUGAAAUCUCCGGGCUUAACCCGGAAAGGUCAGCCGAUACUGCGGGGCUAGAGUGCAGAAGGGGCAACUGGAAUUCUCGGUGUAGCGGUGAAAUGCGUAGAUAUCGAGAGGAACACCUGCGGCGAAGGCGGGUUGCUGGGCUGACACUGACGCUGAGGCGCGAAAGCUAGGGGAGCGAACGGGAUUAGAUACCCCGGUAGUCCUAGCCUUAAACGAUGAAUGCUUGGUGUCUGGG
This 789-nucleotide ribosomal RNA is filed under the name uncultured Actinomycetes bacterium. RNAcentral describes it as "bacterial SSU rRNA". It matches the Rfam family "Bacterial small subunit ribosomal RNA", at positions 60 to 828 of the family's 1533-position model. The record is from RNAcentral. Lineage: Bacteria; Bacillati; Actinomycetota; Actinomycetes.